CCCGCCAGAACCGGAACCGCUAGAACCGGAACCGCAUGGUACCUGGAACCGUCACGGGCCGGUUCCACCUUCAUAACCACCAGAACCGGAGCCGCCAGAACCUCCAGACCCGGAACCGCCAGAACCGAAACGCCAGACCCAAAUAGAUCCAGAACCGGAACCGGAACCGGAUACAGCCUUAACUAGCACCAAAUAUUCGUUGAGAAUUCGAUUUUCUCUUUAAUUUGAGGGUCAACUAUUUUGCUUUUUUUUUUUGUGUGGAGGAUCUCUU
Molecule: long non-coding RNA, 271 nt
Filed under: Nicotiana benthamiana
Lineage: Eukaryota; Viridiplantae; Streptophyta; Magnoliopsida; Solanales; Solanaceae
Description: long non-coding RNA (NBEN_LNC023332)
Source: RNAcentral